RNAcentral lists this ribosomal RNA (503 nucleotides) under uncultured bacterium. RNAcentral's name for it is "partial 16S ribosomal RNA". It matches the Rfam family "Bacterial small subunit ribosomal RNA", at positions 30 to 523 of the family's 1533-position model. The record is from RNAcentral.
AUUGAACGCUGGCGGCAGGCUUAACACAUGCAAGUCGAGCGGAGUGAUGGUGCUUGCACUAUCACUUAGCGGCGGACGGGUGAGUAAUGCUUAGGAAUCUGCCUAUUAGUGGGGGACAACAUCUCGAAAGGGAUGCUAAUACCGCAUACGUCCUACGGGAGAAAGCAGGGGAUCACUUGUGACCUUGCGCUAAUAGAUGUGCCUAAGUCGGAUUAGCUAGUUGGUGGGGUAAAGGCCUACCAAGGCGACGAUCUGUAGCGGGUUUGAGAGGAUGAUCCGCCACACGGGGACGGAGACACGGCCCAGACUCCUACGGGAGGCAGCAGUGGGGAAUAUUGGACAAUGGGGGGAACCCUGAUCCAGCCAUGCCGCGUGUGUGAAGAAGGCCUUAUGGUUGUAAAGCACUUUAAGCGAGGAGGAGGCUCUUUUGGUUAAUACCCAAGAUGAGUGGACGUUACUCGCAGAAUAAGCACCGGCUAACUCUGUGCCAGCCGCCGCCGUAA